This 526-nucleotide transfer RNA is filed under the name uncultured Cryomorphaceae bacterium. Its description in RNAcentral is "16S-23S ribosomal RNA intergenic spacer". The stretch from base 129 to 202 matches the Rfam family "tRNA". The record is from RNAcentral. Lineage: Bacteria; Pseudomonadati; Bacteroidota; Flavobacteriia; Flavobacteriales; Cryomorphaceae.
GGAGGCGAAUUGUUAUGAUUCCGAGUUAAUCGGAAUGGACACCUGCUAUUUAUCCUACCCUUCAAUAAUAUUUUAGGCCAGCUCAGUAAGGCUAAAUAUACUAACUGAGUAGAAGUUGCUGAACGGACAGUCCCGUAGCUCAGCUGGUUAGAGCGCUACACUGAUAAUGUAGAGGUCGGCAGUUCAAGUCUGCCCGGGACUACACCUGGGGGAUUAGCUCAGCUGGCUAGAGCGCCUGCCUUGCACGCAGGAGGUCAUCGGUUCGACUCCGAUAUCCUCCACAGGUAUGAAAAAUAGAAUUUGAUAAUCUGAAUCCAAUUUCGAUUUACUUUUAUAUUCUUGAUUCAUAUGUUGUAAAGUUGACCAAUACAUUGGCCUAAAAGAAUAAAUCUCAAAAUUGGUGAGUUUGCCCGUUGGCAUAAUGGUUCGAGUCCAUAUUUAUUCACAUUCCCUAAUCAUUACAGGGAAAAGUUCUUUGACAUCCUGAAAGAGAAUACCGAGUUAAAACUAUUAAGAUUUAUCGUUA